AUUGAACGCUGGCGGCAUCCCUUACACAUGCAAGUCGAACGGCAGCACGGGAGCAAUCCUGGUGGCGAGUGGCGAACGGGUGAGUAAAGUAUCGGAACGUGCCCAGUCGUGGGGGAUAACGUAGCGAAAGUUACGCUAAUACCGCAUACGAUCUAUGGAUGAAAGCGGGGGAUCGCAAGACCUCGCGCGAUUGGAGCGGCCGAUAUCAGAUUGGGUAGUUGGUGGGGUAAAGGCUCACCAAGCCGACGAUCUGUAGCGGGUCUGAGAGGACGACCAGCCACACUGGGACUGAGACACGGCCCAGACGCCUACGGGAGGCAGCAGUGGGGAAUUUUGGACAAUGGGCGCAAGCCUGAUCCAGCCAUGCCGCGUGCAGGAUGAAGGCCUUCGGGUUGUAAACUGCUUUUGUACGGAACGAAAAGGUCUGACUUAAUACGUUGGACUCAUGACGGUACCGUAGGAAUAAGCACCGGCUAACUACGUGCCAGCCGCCGCCGUAA
This 500-nucleotide ribosomal RNA is filed under the name uncultured bacterium. Its description in RNAcentral is "partial 16S ribosomal RNA". It matches the Rfam family "Bacterial small subunit ribosomal RNA", at positions 30 to 523 of the family's 1533-position model. The record is from RNAcentral.